UACAGAGGGGGCAAGCGUUGUUCGGAAUUACUGGGCGUAAAGCGCGUGUAGGCGGCCAUGCAAGUCGGAUGUGAAAGCCCUCGGCUCAACCGGGGAAGUGCACUCGAAACUGCAAGGCUAGAGUCUCGGAGAGGAUCGUGGAAUUCUCGGUGUAGCGGUGAAAUGCGUUGAUAUCAUCAGGAACACCGGUGGCGAAAGCGGCUUACUGGGUCUCUUCUGACGCUGAGGAACGAAAGCUAGGGUAGCGAACGGG
Molecule: ribosomal RNA, 253 nt
Filed under: uncultured bacterium
Lineage: Bacteria
Description: partial 16S ribosomal RNA
Rfam family: Bacterial small subunit ribosomal RNA
Source: RNAcentral